Molecule: ribosomal RNA, 305 nt
Filed under: uncultured bacterium
Lineage: Bacteria
Description: partial 16S ribosomal RNA
Rfam family: Bacterial small subunit ribosomal RNA
Source: RNAcentral
UUGUACCUACGGGGGGCAGCAGUGGGGGAUAUUGGACAAUGGGGGGGAGCCCUGAUCCAGCGACGCCGCGUGAGUGAAGAAGUAUUUCGGUAUGUAAAGCUCUGUCAGCAGGGAAGAAAGCAAUGACGGUACCUGACCAAGAAGCCCCGGCUAACUACGUGCCAGCAGCCGCGGUAAUACGUAGGGGGCAAGCGUUAUCCGGAAUUACUGGGUGUAAAGGGAGCGUAGACGGCUGUGCAAGGCUGGAGUGAAAGGCGGGGGCCAACCCCCGGACUGCUCUGGAAACUGUAUGGCGGGAGUGCAGG